UGGGGAAUAUUGGACAAUGGGCGAAAGCCUGAUCCAGCCAUGCCGCGCGUGUGAAGAAGGUCUUCGGAUUGUAAAGCACUUUAAGUUGGGAGGAAGGGCAUUAACCUAAUACGUUAGUGUUUUGACGUUACCGACAGAAUAAGCACCGGCUAACUCUGUGCCAGCAGCCGCGGUAAUACAGAGGGUGCAAGCGUUAAUCGGAAUUACUGGGCGUAAAGCGCGCGUAGGUGGUUUGUUAAGUUGGAUGUGAAAUCCCCGGGCUCAACCUGGGAACUGCAUUCAAAACUGACUGACUAGAGUAUGGUAGAGGGUGGUGGAAUUUCCUGUGUAGCGGUGAAAUGCGUAGAUAUAGGAAGGAACACCAGUGGCGAAGGCGACCACCUGGACUAAUACUGACACUGAGGUGCGAAAGCGUGGGGAGCAAACA
RNAcentral lists this ribosomal RNA (427 nucleotides) under uncultured bacterium. RNAcentral's name for it is "partial 16S ribosomal RNA". It matches the Rfam family "Bacterial small subunit ribosomal RNA", at positions 355 to 774 of the family's 1533-position model. The record is from RNAcentral.